RNAcentral lists this ribosomal RNA (497 nucleotides) under uncultured bacterium. RNAcentral describes it as "partial 16S ribosomal RNA". It matches the Rfam family "Bacterial small subunit ribosomal RNA", at positions 28 to 507 of the family's 1533-position model. The record is from RNAcentral.
GAUGAACGCUGGCGGCGUGCCUAAUACAUGCAAGUCGAGCGAACGGACGAGAAGCUUGCUUCUCUGAUGUUAGCGGCGGACGGGUGAGUAACACGUGGAUAACCUACCUAUAAGACUGGGAUAACUUCGGGAAACCGGAGCUAAUACCGGAUAAUAUUUUGAACCGCAUGGUUCAAAAGUGAAAGACGGUCUUGCUGUCACUUAUAGAUGGAUCCGCGCUGCAUUAGCUAGUUGGUAAGGUAAUGGCUUACCAAGGCAACGAUGCAUAGCCGACCUGAGAGGGUGAUCGGCCACACUGGAACUGAGACACGGUCCAGACUCCUACGGGAGGCAGCAGUAGGGAAUCUUCCGCAAUGGGCGAAAGCCUGACGGAGCAACGCCGCGUGAGUGAUGAAGGUCUUCGGAUCGUAAAACUCUGUUAUUAGGGAAGAACAUAUGUGUAAGUAACUGUGCACAUCUUGACGGUACCUAAUCAGAAAGCCACGGCUAACUACGUG